AUCCAGCCGAGAAGUCCCAAAUAGGACGAAACGCGCAUCCUGGAU
RNAcentral lists this non-coding RNA (45 nucleotides) under Schistosoma mansoni. The record is from RNAcentral. Lineage: Eukaryota; Metazoa; Platyhelminthes; Trematoda; Strigeidida; Schistosomatidae.